UGGGGAAUAUUGCACAAUGGGCGCAAGCCUGAUGCAGCCAUGCCGCGUGUAUGAAGAAGGCCUUCGGGUUGUAAAGUACUUUCAGCGGGGAGGAAGGGAGUAAAGUUAAUACCUUUGCUCAUUGACGUUACCCGCAGAAGAAGCACCGGCUAACUCCGUGCCAGCAGCCGCGGUAAUACGGAGGGUGCAAGCGUUAAUCGGAAUUACUGGGCGUAAAGCGCACGCAGGCGGUUUGUUAAGUCAGAUGUGAAAUCCCCGGGCUCAACCUGGGAACUGCAUCUGAUACUGGCAAGCUUGAGUCUCGUAGAGGGGGGUAGAAUUCCAGGUGUAGCGGUGAAAUGCGUAGAGAUCUGGAGGAAUACCGGUGGCGAAGGCGGCUCCCUGGACGAAGACUGACGCUCAGGUGCGAAAGCGUGGGGAGCAAACAGG
RNAcentral lists this ribosomal RNA (429 nucleotides) under Chloroflexota bacterium. RNAcentral describes it as "Chloroflexi bacterium partial 16S ribosomal RNA". It matches the Rfam family "Bacterial small subunit ribosomal RNA", at positions 355 to 776 of the family's 1533-position model. Lineage: Bacteria; Bacillati; Chloroflexota. The record is from RNAcentral.